This 226-nucleotide long non-coding RNA is filed under the name Vigna radiata. RNAcentral describes it as "long non-coding RNA (VRAD_LNC000147)". The record is from RNAcentral. Lineage: Eukaryota; Viridiplantae; Streptophyta; Magnoliopsida; Fabales; Fabaceae.
CCACUUUGUUCAGGAUGUUGUCCUAUCUUCUGACGGUCAGUUCGCGCUUUCCGGCUCCUGGGACGGUGAGCUCCGCCUCUGGGACCUUGCAGCCGGCACCUCCGCGCGCCGUUUCGUUGGACACACCAAGGACGUCCUCUCUGUGGCGUUCUCUAUUGACAACCGUCAGAUCGUGUCGGCCUCCCGUGACCGCACAAUCAAACUGUGGAAUACCCUUGGUGAAUGC